UAGUCCACGCCGUAAACGAUGAGAACUAGAUGUUGGGCCGCAUGACGGUUUAGUGUCGAAGCUAACGCGAUAAGUUCUCCGCCUGGGGAGUACGGCCGCAAGGUUAAAACUCAAAGAAAUUGACGGGGACCCGGCACAAGCGGUGGAGCAUGUGGUUUAAUUCGAUGCAACGCGAAGAACCUUACCUACCCUUGACAUCCUGGAAAGCUUACGUAAUGGUGAGUGUGCCUUCGGGAAUUCAGUGACAGGUGCUGCAUGGCUGUCGUCAGCUCGUGUUGUGAAAUGUUGGGUUAAGUCCCGUAACGAGCGUAACCCUUGUCCUUAGUUGCCAGCGCGUAAUGGCGGGAACUCUAAGGAGACUGCCGGUGACAAACCGGAGGAAGGUGGGGACGACGUCAAGUCAUCAUGGCCCUUACGACCUGGGCUACACACGUGCUACAAUGGAACGCACAAAGGGCAGCAAACCCGCGAGGGGGAGCGAAUCCCACAAAACGUUUCGUAGUCCGGAUUGGAGUCUGCAACUCGACUCCA
Molecule: ribosomal RNA, 531 nt
Filed under: uncultured bacterium
Lineage: Bacteria
Description: bacterial SSU rRNA
Rfam family: Bacterial small subunit ribosomal RNA
Source: RNAcentral